UGCAGUAACCAGUCCAGGAAGCCAAA
RNAcentral lists this non-coding RNA (26 nucleotides) under Homo sapiens (human). Lineage: Eukaryota; Metazoa; Chordata; Mammalia; Primates; Hominidae. The record is from RNAcentral.